GCAUUAAUGGGGUAGUGGUAACCUGGGUCGUUGCCAUCUCAGUAGGAUUGUGUCGUGUCGACCCGCCGGGGGUUCGAUUCCCCCUUAAUGCA
This is a non-coding RNA of Favolaschia claudopus, 92 nucleotides long. The record is from the annotation of a GenBank genome assembly. Lineage: Eukaryota; Fungi; Basidiomycota; Agaricomycetes; Agaricales; Mycenaceae.